Molecule: long non-coding RNA, 389 nt
Organism: Syzygium oleosum
Lineage: Eukaryota; Viridiplantae; Streptophyta; Magnoliopsida; Myrtales; Myrtaceae
Exons: 2
Source: RefSeq, a predicted model, not a curated record
AGGCGAUUUAGUAUUCAAAACGCAUGAAAACUCCUAUAAAAACAAGCAGCUUCCAUCCGUAGGCGAGCACACUGAAGAAGAUGGCUUCUCGACUUGUCUCCAAGCAUAUGCUGAUCGCAAUUAUCUAUGCCAUUUUCCUGGCCUGUCUCUUCUGUUUCGGGGAUGCAAAAUACGUCUGCCAAGGGAAAUGUGAAGAUCUGCCCGACUGCGAUGGCGCUUGCCGACGUUAUGGAUAUAAUGGAGGGAGAUGUCUUGAGCCACUUUACCAAUAUUGUUGCUGCAAUGCCUAAACUCUUAUUUUUGCCUCCGUUAGGUUUCAUCAUUUUGGUUAGUGAAAAGUGAUGUAGUAUGUUAUUUGAAUAAAAAAAAGUUGAAUCAGUUCUUUUCUA